CCUACGGGUGGCAGCAGUGAGGAAUAUUGGUCAAUGGGCGAGAGCCUGAACCAGCCAAGUCGCGUGAAGGAUGACGGCCCUACGGGUUGUAAACUUCUUUUGUCAGGGAGCAAUUGGGUCCACGCGUGGGCUUAGCGAGAUUACCUGAAAAAAAAGCAUCGGCUAACUCCGUGCCAGAAGCCGCGGUAAUACGGAGGAUGCGAGCGUUAUCCGGAUUUAUUGGGUUUAAGGGGUGCGUAGGCGGAAUAUCAGGUCAGCGGUAAAGAUUCGGGGCUAAACCCCGUCGUGCCGUUGAAACUGAUGGUCUUGAGUGGGCGAGAAGUAUGCGGAAUGCGUGGUGUAGCGGUGAAAUGCAUAGAUAUCACGCAGAACUCCGAUUGCGAAGGCAGCAUACCGGCGCCCAACUGACGCUGAAGCACGAAAGCGUGGGUAUCGAACAGGAUUAGAUACCCCGGUAGUC
Molecule: ribosomal RNA, 460 nt
Filed under: uncultured bacterium
Lineage: Bacteria
Description: partial 16S ribosomal RNA
Rfam family: Bacterial small subunit ribosomal RNA
Source: RNAcentral